This 468-nucleotide ribosomal RNA is filed under the name uncultured bacterium. RNAcentral's name for it is "partial 16S ribosomal RNA". It matches the Rfam family "Bacterial small subunit ribosomal RNA", at positions 28 to 507 of the family's 1533-position model. The record is from RNAcentral.
GACGAACGCUGGCGGCGUGCUUAACACAUGCAAGUCGAACGGAAAGGCCCUGCUUUUGUGGGGUGCUCGAGUGGCGAACGGGUGAGUAACACGUGAGUAACCUGCCCUUGACUUUGGGAUAACUUCAGGAAACUGGGGCUAAUACCGGAUAGGAGCUCCUGCUGCAUGGUGGGGGUUGGAAAGUUUCGGCGGUUGGGGAUGGACUCGCGGCUUAUCAGCUUGUUGGUGGGGUAGUGGCUUACCAAGGCUUUGACGGGUAGCCGGCCUGAGAGGGUGACCGGCCACAUUGGGACUGAGUUACGGCCCAGACUCCUACGGGAGGCAGCAGUGGGGAAUAUUGCACAAUGGGCGGAAGCCUGAUGCAGCAACGCCGCGUGCGGGAUGACGGCCUUCGGGUUGUAAACCGCAUUCGCCUGUGACGAAGCGUGAGUGACGGUAAUGGGUAAAGAAGCACCGGCUAACUACGUG